This is a long non-coding RNA of Brienomyrus brachyistius, 1766 nucleotides long. RefSeq lists it as uncharacterized. The record is from RefSeq and is a predicted model, not a curated record. NCBI's taxonomy places the organism in Eukaryota, Metazoa, Chordata, Actinopteri, Osteoglossiformes, Mormyridae. The transcript is spliced from 3 exons.
AAUAUUGCAGAUAAAAGCAACAGCCGUUUGGAAACACAGUAUAUUAAAGUGGCGGCAUCAAGAGGCUGUGGCCUGAAAUAAAUCCAAGCAAAGCCACAAGCGAUUCGUUUAGCUCACAUGUUUUAACAUCUAUGCUCUCAGUCUAAAAACUAGAGCUAAGCCCUGGAUUUCUUGAGAGGCUAGUGAUCGCCUUGUAGUGACGUAUAUUUCUUUUGGAAAACAGGUUGCCCAGAAGCCCUGAACAAAAAGGUAUACACUCAUUUUUAUUAGUGUCGGAGAACAUAUUCAGAAUUUGCAAAUUAUGAUCUGUUAAUAUUAUUGACUAUUUUUGUUUGCCGUGUCGCUUGAGUCAUCAGAAUCGUCCUCCGCUGGCUCUUAUUUCCUGUCAUGUGUUAGCAGGUCUGAUUGCACAGCCAGGAUGCUGCGUGUAGCUUUCACGUCCCUAAUGCGAUUUCCAUGAAGCACAUCCGGCAACCGAAAAAAAAUGACGCAAUAACGGUGGCUGGGGAAUAGAGAGAGCUAACCUGAUUUAGUCCCAAGUAGAUCCUUCAAGGCGAUAUGUAAAUGAUAUUUCUACAAACAAUUAAAACAUCUGGAAAUAACACUUUAUCAUAUGCAGAUGGUAAAUGAGAAGAAGGUGCAGAGCAUCACUUGAUGCUGGGCACCGCAUAACCUUUUCCUCCAAGUGAUUAUCUUGUGGAAAAUUCAUCAAGAUGAAUCAUUUCGACACCCUCCCACGGAUCUAAAGGUCAACCGUGAGAUUUCCCUCAGAAGUUGUCGGAAUGGACAAGCAAUUGAAGGCGACCAUUCAACUCUGUGACCUUGUCCUCUGUCGGCUAGCUGGGACAUGGGUUCGUCUCUGCGGCAAUAACAGCUGCUGGGGGGCUAUUCGGGACAUGGGUGAAGUUCCUCGACGUGUAGAGAUCAAGACCGCGAAGAAUGACAGAGACGAGCCCAGAACCCACAUCUGGGUGCAUCUCCUGCAGGAUUCUUCAUCUUGAUAUCAUCUUGACAUUAUCACCUCCAGUAUCUGCAGAAGAUGGGGCGGAAAUAAAGGUCCUCUGUAACAGUACUUGUGCAGACAUCUGUUUACGUAGCUCCAUGAAGUAUUUGCACUUAGUCAAAUGAUUCCUUGUUGUGUAAAUCUGCGUCUGCUUAUUUAAGCACUUGAGCAUGCAGGAAGCCCGUACUUGUAAAAUAACUGUGUCUGACAUGUCAAAUCAUAUUGUUACCCCUUCAUCUCACCUUUCCUGUCACUUCAAGCCUCGGUAUUCACAAGUAUGUAAUUAAUGUCAGUCUUUAUCUCCUGUCUUGACCUACAUACCCCCUACCUAUAAAAACAAUUAGUGUAACUGGAUUUGAUUUACAUAUUGACAAAUAAUCAGAAUUCUCUGACAAGUAAUUAGUAAGCAAUCUUACUGGGCCUUUCUUUCAGAGGUUUUACGGUAGCUACACUACCGGUAUUCAAACUCGAUAAAAAAAGAUCAAUUAACUACCCUUCAAGUACUCGGUCAGGCUGUGUGAUUCUUUAUGAUUCUUUAAAUCAGUUUUCCAAAAGCCAAGCUACAAUAUCGUUAAUGGCUUCAACACAUUUCUUGUAAUGUCACUUUAUGUGAAUCAGUCAUGGUCCUAAGUUUGUCAAAGUAAUGUACUUUAUUGAUAACUUCUAAAUAACGUGAUAUGAAUAUACCUCAAAUACUGCAUACAUAGGAAGUUCCUUAAGAAAAGUGGUAAUCAUAUAAUACUUUGCCCAUCUGAUUAGAAAA